UUGGAGGGCAAGUCUGGUGCCAGCAGCCGCGGUAAUUCCAGCUCCAAUAGCGUAUAUUAAAGUUGUUGCAGUUAAAAAGCUCGUAGUUGAAUUUCGGGGUUAGUAGGUUGGUCAUGCCUCUGGUAUGUACUGGUCUCACUGAUUCCUCCUUCCUGAUGAACCGUAAUGCCAUUAAUUUGGUGUUGCGGGGAAUUUGGACUGUUACUUUGAAAAAAUUAGAGUGUUUAAAGCAAGCUAACGCUUGAAUACAUUAGCAUGGAAUAAUGAAAUAAGACGUUCGAUCCUAUUUUGUUGGUUUCUAGGAUUGACGUAAUGAUUAAUAGGGAUAGUUGGGGGCAUUAGUAUUCAAUUGUCAGAGGUGAAAUUCUUGGAUUUAUUGAAGACUAACUACUGCGAAAGCAUUUGCCAAGGAUGUUUUCAUUAAUCAAGAACGAAAGUUAGGGGAUCGAAGACGAUCAGAUACCGUCGUAGUCUUAACCAUAAACUAUGCCGACUAGGGAUCGGAUGAUGUUAAUUUUUUAAUGACUCAUUCGGCGCCUUACGGGAAAC
This 549-nucleotide ribosomal RNA is filed under the name uncultured Glomus. RNAcentral's name for it is "SSU rRNA". It matches the Rfam family "Eukaryotic small subunit ribosomal RNA", at positions 548 to 1098 of the family's 1831-position model. Lineage: Eukaryota; Fungi; Glomeromycota; Glomeromycetes; Glomerales; Glomeraceae. The record is from RNAcentral.